UGCAGAGAUCACACCACGUUUCAUAACACCACACAUCAGAUGUGCUAAAUGCUUCACAGUAUAAAUGGAGAUGUACAGUACCUUGUACAGAGAGGAGAAGCACAACAAAUCCACUCGCUGUUGUUAAACUCAUAGCUGCUCCUUACGUCUGUUAAGUCACAUCAGCAGGUAGAUCAGAUACAUGAGAAAUCCUGUAUGUCAGUAAGUCACUGUAAACAUUCCUAAUGAAAAGGGGAGGAUGUGGUCUUUGACCAGUUUGUCUCUUUGGGUUUGUUGAAAAGACACUGAUGUGUUAAAAGCUGCCCUCUUUACAUUAUGCACAUUAUGCUUCCUUCCCCUUUACAUUAUGCACAGAUGAAUGUCUGUUAAACUCAAGUGUCCAAGUUAAAAUGAAUCUUUAUUAUUCUUACUCUUGUUUUGCAUGAUGCAUAAACAGCGAUGUUUUAUGAGUGAGUCCCAGUUGUGUUUGUCUCUUGCAGGAGGAGGACAAACAUUCACCCAUCAUCACAGGACUAAAGCAUUACACAUUCCUGCUGAUGGUUACACACAUUUCCACUGAUCGACAGUUGUUGGCAGCAACUUGCAAAGAAAGAGAGCGAUGUGCAAACAUGCAGGACUGAAAAUAUUCAAAGGAUUCUGCCAUGGAUGACUUUGUUCAGGACCAAAUUUUGAUUCAACAUCUUCUUCAUGACUCUUGUACGUGCAAGAAAUGUCCACUAGUGAGCCUUUGGAGACACAUAUGCCUCUGUUAGCGUGCAGUGUAUAUACAGCGGACAGAAUAACAGCACAGCACCUGUUCUGCAUUCCCUCAUCACCGCUCACUACUUAACCUUGGCCAGCUCUCCAGUCCUUUUCGGAUUGUUGUUUAACCUGAGAAAUUCGCCCUGUUCCCCCUGGAUUACCUGUCCUCCCCGCCAGCCUGCACAGUCGUCAGGAGUAAUCCCCACC
Micropterus dolomieu (smallmouth bass) is the source of this 948-nucleotide long non-coding RNA. RefSeq lists it as uncharacterized. The transcript has 3 exons. Lineage: Eukaryota; Metazoa; Chordata; Actinopteri; Centrarchiformes; Centrarchidae. The record is from RefSeq and is a predicted model, not a curated record.